AAGACCUUGCGCUUUUGGAGCGGCCGAUGUCUGAUUAGCUAGUUGGUGGGGUAAUGGCCUACCAAAGCUUCGAUCAGUAGCUGGUCUGAGAGGACGGCCAGCCACACUGGGACUGAGACACGGCCCAGACUCCUACGGGAGGCAGCAGUGGGGAAUUUUGGACAAUGGGCGCAAGCCUGAUCCAGCCACGCCGCGUGAGUGAAGAAGGCCUUCGGGUUGUAAAGCUCUUUCAGCCGGGAAGAAAAGGUUGCGAUUAAUAAUCACAAUUGAUGACGGUACCGGAAGAAGAAGCACCGGCUAACUACGUGCCAGCAGCCGCGGUAAUACGUAGGGUGCGAGCGUUAAUCGGAAUUACUGGGCGUAAAGGGUGCGCAGGCGGUUUUGUAAGUCAGAUGUGAAAUCCCCGGGCUUAACCUGGGAACU
This 423-nucleotide ribosomal RNA is filed under the name uncultured bacterium. RNAcentral describes it as "bacterial SSU rRNA". It matches the Rfam family "Bacterial small subunit ribosomal RNA", at positions 207 to 622 of the family's 1533-position model. The record is from RNAcentral.